Lathyrus oleraceus (garden pea) is the source of this 109-nucleotide small nucleolar RNA. Lineage: Eukaryota; Viridiplantae; Streptophyta; Magnoliopsida; Fabales; Fabaceae. The record is from RefSeq and is a predicted model, not a curated record.
AGGUCAUGGUGUGGACAGACUCUUAAUAGCCCCUUGUAUCUCUCCCAAGCUUAAAAAAGUGAUUCUCCUUGGUUUUAAGUAAAUCUAGUUAUUUGGUUUCGAAGAACAU